RNAcentral lists this ribosomal RNA (451 nucleotides) under uncultured bacterium. RNAcentral describes it as "bacterial SSU rRNA". It matches the Rfam family "Bacterial small subunit ribosomal RNA", at positions 354 to 796 of the family's 1533-position model. The record is from RNAcentral.
GUGAGGAAUCUUGCGCAAUGGGGGCAACCCUGACGCAGCAACGCCGCGUGAGUGAGGAAGGUCUUCGGAUCGUAAAGCUCUGUCGGGUGGGAAGAAACGUAUGGAGGUUAAUAGCCUUUAUACUUGACGGUACCACCAAAGGAAGCACCGGCUAACUCCGUGCCAGCAGCCGCGGUAAUACGGGGGGUGCAAGCGUUGUUCGGAAUCAUUGGGCGUAAAGGGCGUGUAGGCGGCUUGGUAAGUCAGAUGUGAAAGCCCUGGGCUUAACCCAGGAAGUGCAUUUGAAACUGCCAGGCUUGAGUAGGGAAGAGGAAGGUGGAAUUCCUGGUGUAGAGGUGAAAUUCGUAGAUAUCAGGAGGAACACCGGUGGCGAAGGCGACCUUCUGGUCCUAUACUGACGCUGAGACGCGAAAGCGUGGGUAGCAAACAGGAUUAGAAACCCUUGUAGUCC